Molecule: transfer RNA, 87 nt
Filed under: Xenorhabdus bovienii
Lineage: Bacteria; Pseudomonadati; Pseudomonadota; Gammaproteobacteria; Enterobacterales; Morganellaceae
Also listed under: 5 other names
Description: tRNA-Leu (CAG) (tRNA-Leu-CAG-1-1)
Rfam family: tRNA
About the family: Transfer RNA (tRNA) molecules are approximately 80 nucleotides in length. Their secondary structure includes four short double-helical elements and three loops (D, anti-codon, and T loops). Further hydrogen bonds mediate the characteristic L-shaped molecular structure. tRNAs have two regions of fundamental functional importance: the anti-codon, which is responsible for specific mRNA codon recognition, and the 3' end, to which the tRNAs corresponding amino acid is attached (by aminoacyl-tRNA synthetases). tRNAs cope with the degeneracy of the genetic code in two manners: having more than one tRNA (with a specific anti-codon) for a particular amino acid; and 'wobble' base-pairing, i.e. permitting non-standard base-pairing at the 3rd anti-codon position.
Source: RNAcentral
GCGAGGGUGGCGGAAUUGGUAGACGCGCUAGCUUCAGGUGUUAGUGUCCGUAUGGACGUGGGGGUUCAAGUCCCCCCCUUCGCACCA